This 415-nucleotide ribosomal RNA is filed under the name uncultured beta proteobacterium. RNAcentral describes it as "bacterial SSU rRNA". The record is from RNAcentral. Lineage: Bacteria; Pseudomonadati; Pseudomonadota; Betaproteobacteria.
UWAAGUCCCGCAACGAGCGCAACCCUWGUYUCUAGCUGCUAYGAAAGGGCACUCUAGAGAGACUGCCGGUGACAAACCGGAGGAAGGUGGGGAUGACGUCAAGUCCUCAUGGCCCUUAUGGGUAGGGCUUCACACGUCAUACAAUGGUGCAUACAGAGGGUUGCCAAGCCGCGAGGUGGAGCUAAUCCCAGAAAAUGCAUCGUAGUCCGGAUCGUAGUCUGCAACUCGACUACGUGAAGCUGGAAUCGCUAGUAAUCGCGGAUCAGCAUGCCGCGGUGAAUACGUUCCCGGGUCUUGUACACACCGCCCGUCACACCAUGGGAGUGGGCUUUACCAGAAGUAGUUAGCCUAACCGCAAGGAGGGCGAUUACCACGGUAGGGUUCAUGACUGGGGUGAAGUCGUAACAAGGUAACC